UACAGAGGGUGCGAGCGUUAAUCGGAAUUACUGGGCGUAAAGCGUGCGUAGACGGUUACGUAAGUCGGGUGUGAAAGCCCCGGGCUCAACCUGGGAAUUGCAUUCGAGACUGCGCAGCUAGGGUGCGGAAGAGGGAAGCGGAAUUUCCGGUGUAGCGGUGAAAUGCGUAGAUAUCGGAAGGAACAUCAGUGGCGAAAGCGGCUUCCUGGUCCAGCACCGACGCUCAGGCACGAAAGCGUGGGGAGCAAACAGG
This 253-nucleotide ribosomal RNA is filed under the name uncultured bacterium. RNAcentral describes it as "partial 16S ribosomal RNA". It matches the Rfam family "Bacterial small subunit ribosomal RNA", at positions 524 to 776 of the family's 1533-position model. The record is from RNAcentral.